RNAcentral lists this ribosomal RNA (301 nucleotides) under uncultured bacterium. RNAcentral describes it as "partial 16S ribosomal RNA". It matches the Rfam family "Bacterial small subunit ribosomal RNA", at positions 509 to 807 of the family's 1533-position model. The record is from RNAcentral.
CAGCAGCCACGGGAAUACGUAGGGUGCAAGCGUUAUCCGGAAUUAUUGGGCGUAAAGAGCUCGUAGGCGGUCUGUCGCGUCUGCUGUGAAAACUGGAGGCUCAACCUCCAGCCUGCAGUGGGUACGGGCAGACUAGAGUGCGGUAGGGGAGAUUGGAACUCCUGGUGUAGCGGUGGAAUGCGCAGAUAUCAGGAAGAACACCGAUGGCGAAGGCAGAUCUCUGGGCCGUAACUGACGCUGAGGAGCGAAAGCAUGGGGAGCGAACAGGAUUAGAUACCCCUGUAGUCCCUGUCUCUUAUAC